RNAcentral lists this long non-coding RNA (12937 nucleotides) under Sorghum bicolor (sorghum). RNAcentral describes it as "long non-coding RNA (SBIC_LNC001388)". The record is from RNAcentral. Lineage: Eukaryota; Viridiplantae; Streptophyta; Magnoliopsida; Poales; Poaceae.
CAGAUACGAUGCCAAAACAACGAUGCCUGCUCCGGCAACCCUGAGACGGUGAUCAUCACUGACAUGAACUACUACCCCGUGUCCAAGUAUCACUUCGACCUCAGCGGCACGGCGUUCGGCGCCAUGGCCAAGCCCGGCCGCAGCGACGAGCUCCGCCACGCCGGCAUCAUCGACAUCCAGUUCAAGAGGUGGGUAACACGCAACGCUCGUUGCACAGAAUCAACACGCACAGUCGACCGGCUGAUGAUCAGCUGGAGGCCCUACACCAACAGAAUCAUAUCUCGAGACCGUCUAGCUAAUACUUAAUUUUGCCGUGGAGCCCUUGUACUUUUGCUCAACAAACUCUAACGAUAACGACCGGUUGAUUUUUAUUUUUUAUUUUUCUGACGGGCCCCAUGUAGAUUCAAUUCGCACAAAUAUUAGUAGUACUUCCGCUUUACAAUUUGGCGCGUCUGCGUGCGGAUGUGUCUGCCUGUGGACAAAGUGUUCUGAAGCUCUUGCCUAAUCCAAGCAUAUCACAUGGCUUGUUCCUGUGUCUGUAGGGUGCCCUGCAACUACCCCGGGCAGAAGGUGACGUUCCACGUGGAGGAGGGCUCCAACCCCGUCUACUUCGCGGUGCUCGUCGAAUUCGAAGACGGCGACGGCGACGUGGUGCAGGUGGACCUCAUGGAGGCCAACUCCGGGUCGUGGACGCCGAUGCGCGAGUCCUGGGGAUCCAUCUGGAGGCUGGACUCCGGCCACCGCCUCACCGCGCCGUUCUCCCUGCGCAUCACCAACGAGUCCGGCAAGACGCUGGUGGCGAACCAAGUCAUCCCGGCCAACUGGGUGCCCAACACCUACUACCGUUCCAUCGUCCAGUAUUAGCAAUAUAUACCCUGCUGCGCACAAUAAUAAUUCUGUGUCAUUGUGGUUGAUUAGUAGUUUGGUACUAGUAUUGUAUUGCUGCAUGGACUGAUGAGCUACUGAUGAGGUCGCCUCAGUCAGUUACUAGUAAGGGUGUUGGUGGUGCGUGGCUUCUUUAAUUCAGGGAUUUGAAGACUGGGGAAAUGGAGGAAGCAAAGUUAAUUUGCAAAUGCUUUCCCGCCCAUUGUCAAUGCAUGUACCAGUGCGAUUAAGAUUAUAAUUAUUAAUCGUAUUUUGUGCCAUAUUGCGUCUCUGCUUCGUUCGGUAUCUCCUUUUGUUUCAGUUACUGACAAAACCAAAACCCAUCAUGCGGAGACAGUCCAUACGUUACCUUUGAUUCCUAGACCUUGGAUUAUUUAUUUUAUUCAUUUUCUGAUUCCUACACCUCCCAUUAUUUAUUCUCAUUCCUUUGUUGCCUAUGGUGAGAGUGUUUAUUAGCCCUCCUGGAGCCUAAACUGCAAUGAGAAUUGGUUGUGCAUGCAAACCUCUUGCAGAGCCAAAGUAGAAAAGUUUCCUUUACCUAAAAAACUCCUACUAUUAUUCAGUCUGCAUUUGCCAAGGAUGCACUACACGAACCUGAUCCUGACUUGCUAACAAAGGGUACGAAUCGAGAAUAUAAAAUGUGUCGUGCGACUUCAGAAUAAACUGAUUGGGAUUUGGAGGACAGAACAAGGCAGCGUUUUAGUACAAAUCGCUGGUUCCAGGGCUGACUUAUUAGCAUAGACAACACCUUUUUUCUGGACUGAAAACUGAUUGCAGUUGCAGCGACAAUGCGAGCACUAUCAAUGCACAGCGAAGUUUGUUUUUCUUUCACGCUGCCUUUUCUUCUGACGAUGGCACUCCAUUCCCGUCGAUUUUGGCAAUCCUGAAAAGGAACAUCAUCAUGAUUCCUGCAACGGACAAAUCUCACCAGUGCUUAAUUACAAUCAGUGUAGUGGUCCGUUGGUUCAACGAAAAGCAUAUGCUAAUUAAUCCUCCAACGCAAGUCCCUUUCCGUCCAAAGCACUUCAAUUUCCCUCGUAACUAAGGUUAUCUAAUCCAUAUAGGAUCGGAGUAUAAUUAACCCUGUGACACAAUGAUUUCGGCUACUGUGAGAGCCAGUCGGCAAAGUCACCGCUUAUAUAUUAGGGCCUUGUUUACUUCCCAGAAAAUUUUACAAAAUUUUUCACAUUCUACGUCACAUCGAAUCUUUAGACGUAUGCAUAGAGUAUUAAAUAUAAACGAAAAUAAAAACUAAUUGCACAGUUUGGUCGAAAUUGACGAGACGAAUCUUUUGAGUCUAGUUAGUCCAUGAUUGGACAAUAUUUAUCAAAUACAAACGAAAGUGCUACAGUGUCUAUUUCCUAAAAAUUUUCGGAACUAAACAAGGCCUAGAUAACUUAAAGUGGCAAGAACUGGAUUCUUGCCGUAAUUACUGGCGUCAAACCACCGUCCCUGCUCCAGUCACUUCCAAUUGACCACCGCACCAAAUUACGGGAAGCUGCAGGUGUGUAGCCCUUGAACAGUUGAACUAGCUAGCAGCGGGGUGUUCGACAAGGUCUUCACACGCACCCGUUUGCCACGGCUCCGGCUUCAGCUCCUAUAGCGAAGCCAUUGCAAGAGCAGAGGUAUCCAUACUUAGGUCACACAAAAAUUAAAAAAAGGAUAAAAGUUAAAUUUUUAUCAUAUUUAUACUGUUAUUUCACAAAAUCUUACACUCAUAAAAUAAUUACGCACUCUUCACAUAUUUCCUCUAACUAUAUGUGUGGCUAAAUAGUGUGUGCAGUGUGCCAAAACGGCUCCCCUGAGAAAGCACAGAGAAGCCAGAGUUACUAAGAAGCCGAAGCGUGCGACUUCUCUCGGCAACUCUCACAAAUUUGGUGCAAACUAUAACAAAAUCGCCGCUAGAGCGUUUUAGCUUCAGCUCCACCAAAUAUCAACUAUACUUGUUAAUACCAUUAAUAUUAUUUUUUAUACAAAUUUAGUUAACUUUGAGAUAGUUUGACUUAAUACAAGUAUCGGUGUCUGGACUCGGAGUUCAGACACUAACAAGUAACAAGUCUGUGUGCCCUCCUAGACCCGAAUGGUGAUGCAAGAGAACACAGGGAAUUUAUACUGGUUCGGACCUCAAAUGCCCUACGUCCAGUGAGAGGUUCGGGUCUGUAUUGCUUUGCACCCGAAAGUGCUUGUAGUAGGGGUGUACAAGCUAGUUGCGAGAGAGGGCUAAGUCCCAGGUCUCGGCUUUGGGAAGUGUCGGUGUUUUCCCCCACGGGAGGUCACACCAACGAGUAAAUUUGUAUGCGUGCUCCCUUUCCCAGAUGGUGAUGCAAGAAGACACAAAGAUUUAUCCUGGUUCGGGCAAGAGAAGGCCCUACGUCCAGCGGGGGAGGGAAGUCUGUAUUAUCUUGCACCUAAGUGCUUGUACAGGGGUGAAUACAAGCGUGGUGUGGGGUGUGUGAGCUCUACUGCGUAUGAUGUUGCCCUGCGUUCUAUUCCUGAGUCCCUCCUUUUAUAGCUUCAAGGAGAGACCCAGGGUACAUGUAUAGGUGUCAGAGUAGGAGUCGAUAGCAGCAUGGAGCGCUGACCUACUCGAGGCUUCCGUACCGGCAUGGCCUCGAGCCGUCCCGUCUUGAUAGCCUGGUGAUGAUUACGCGUGCCCCUGCAUUCUGCUCUGCGCGCCGUCUCGUGUUGGUUCAACGGUCGCACGCUUGUACGGUAUGGCGGCAGACCCGGCGGGGUGGUUGUGGUGUUAUCAGUCGACGCCCAACUCGUCUCCAGGAUGGAACCCUGUUCGGUCGAGGGUCGGACGCCGUGUAAUGUGCCGAUAUCCGGAGCGCUGACUUGGGGUGUCUCGAGGGGGUCCCGAUUAGACGUCCCAUCCUCUUUUCCCGCGUCCUGACACGCCCUGGGUCGUUUGGUGGGGAAGGCUGCAAAAAGAACGAUGGGACGGAUGCCUGUUCCCUAUCACGCCUCCCGUAACCUGUGUGUUAGGUGGGGAAGCGUCAGGCGCAUUUCAUGUCCCGGCUCGCGUGCGCGCGUCAGGCGGCGGGCGGCGUCCUUGCGCUCGACGCCUCCCGGUUCGUGUGAGCCCGUUUCCGUAUUCGACGACAGCUAGCGCUCGACCCCUGAUCGAUUCGCUCGACGCUAUUUCCGUCUUCGAGGUUGUGGACGUCGAAGGCUGCGUAUGCGCAUGACCAGAGCUUCGAGUCGAGGGCCUCAUCCUGCGUACGGAUAGUCUUGUUACGCGCAUCGUUGAGGGUACCCCUCAUUGAUACCCUCGACAGGAAGUAAGUGGAGUUGAGUGCACGCUUGAGUGUGAUGAUGAGGAGUGUUGCUUGUGGUCUGUCUGUGUUUGUGAUGGGUGCCCUGCCUCCCAUUUUAUAGCCGCAAGGGGUGGCAGGGUUUUUACAUGUGCAAGACUGUGAAUUAUCUCUGGUGUGUGUUGAAGUGACAGUGCAGACCCUAUGGAGAUUGGCCACCUCGUCCUUGGGUUAUGGCUGACGGCGUGGUCAUUCUAGUGGAGGGUCGCCGAGCCCUAUUUGAGUCGUGGAGGUCGGGUCGGAGGCACUGCAGCAUGUCCUGCAAUAGUAAAAUAGUAACAGGCAAAGCAUGGUCACAAUGGUAGGGAUUAAUCUUCCCCAUACCUCACUUUUACAGACAAUACCUCAUAGUGAAAGAAGGAAGGCUCCACAGUGACAGGAGUUGUUGAAAUAGUAGCCGACAUGCCCUGCUGUAGCGUGGGGGCAUGGCGUGCGUCACAUCGAGGGUAUGGCCAUCGUGUGCUGGAAGUCUGGUUCCGAGGCCGAGGCUCAGGUGAGACGCUGAUUGCGCUCGAGGCUUGUGCUUUGGUCAAGACGGGGAUUGCGCCCGAGACGCGGAGCUCGGGCGAGACGGAGUCCGUGCUCGAGGCCUGAGGGGUCGGGCGAGACGGGGUCUGCGCCCGAGGCCAAAGGGGGUCGGCGAGACGGAGUCUACGCCCGAGGCCAGAGGGAUCGGGCAUUCCUCUUACUCUUUUUUGCCGCUUUUUAUCCUCUUAAUUUGGGUAUCCUAUUUUAUGGUACCCAACAACAAGCUAAAUUGUCAUUUUUGAGCAAGAGACAGAGGUAAUAGACUAAGGUCAUGUUUGAAUGAACUAGGACUAGUGAUUAACUGACUAGUGAUUAGCCCAGUUAUGUUGUUUGGAUCCAAGGCUAAUAAGUACGGCCCAUUUGGCAUGGCUCAACUUUAUUAGUGAAGCUGUUUUUUGGGGCUUUAGCUCCAUAAACAGCUCUAUCGGUGGAGCUGAAGCCAUUUUGGUAAAUUGUUUAGCAAAAAAGUUUUUUUUUCUUAAAAUGUGCUCUCACAGAAAGCCGCGUAGGAUGAGGUAAAGCCGAGAGAAACCACUAUUGUUGGCUCCUUCACACCUUAAAGCUCUGCGAGAGCACAUUUUUAGAGUCUUUAUUGGUGGAGUCAUUCAAUUUUACUUUAUUUGGUACAAAAUGGCUUCAAACGGCUCCUGAAGCCACUGAAGAAGCCAUGCCAAACAGGCCAUAGUAGCAGUACAUAAUUAGAGAGACAAGAUGCAUGAGAAAACGAGAGCCCUACCUUGGUCUCAAUUAUCGGCUCCUUUUGUUCUCCUCCGAACAGUUGUUUAUCUCCGGAUUCCGGAACGAGACGACGUAACUGACGCCCCCGAUAGCUGCCGCAGGCGCAUGUGCGCGAGAGCGGAUCAGCGGAGCCGGACUGCCGGACGUCGACGGCUCUGCAUGUGAGGGGCGGGCCACCGCGAGGGACAAGGAGAAGGCAACCGCCGCCGGGCCCGGGCUGUCGAGAGAACCGGUGGUGGAAAGGUCACGUCGGCCGAGGGCUCGAGGCGUCGCACUGGAUUCCCGGGGCCCGCGAGAUCGUCGGCCCUCGCCCUCGCACUCGCACACGCACACGCACCCGGGACCCGUUGUUGGGCCGAGAUGAGGCUUCCAGCGCCUCUCGUAGUCUGACGUCUCGCGGUCGCGAGCGGCCCGGUAGCUUGUGGAAGCGAGGCACAGGUCGCCCCUCCCUGCGUGCCGUGGCACGCGACGCCAACCGAUGCCCACGCUACACGUGAGCAACGCCGGGCCUGCGGACAACCAGCGGCUCUCCGCGACAAUCUGGCGGCGCACGUUCUGGGUCAAACUCACGUUUGCCGGGUGCUGCUGCGCUUCGUGUGCCACUUGCUUCCGUUUGGCGAGCCAUCACCAACUCAGCACGCCGAUACGAUCAGAUGAGCUGAGAAGCAAAGGACGACGGUCGACGACGGACGCCAGGCAUAUAUGUCGACGAGGACUCGGGCAUGAAGAAAAAGGAGGCAACAUCACGUUCUCCCAUCCCGGGCAAAUGGCAUGGAGAAGGACGACUACAAGAUCGAAAACCACGUGCGGGAGACUAGGGCCUUGUUCCUACGUGAUUUUUUUUUUGAAUGUAACACUUUUGUUUUUAUUUGAUAAACAUUGUUCAAUCAUAGAGUAACUAAACUUAAAUAAAAAAGAUUCAUCUUGCGAUUUACAAACAAACUGUGCAAUUAGCUUUUGUUCUUAUCUAUAUUUAAUAUUCGAUGUGACGAGAAAUUUUGAAAAAAUUUUAAUUUUUAGGUGGAAUUAAACAAUAGACUCCACACGGAUAGCGAAAAUAAUAGCGCUGGCUGCCAACGGUCAUGGAAGCCCAAAAUGCAGCAAACUUGAACACCUAUACAACAAAUCUCACCAUGCAAGCGGCGCAGGGUUACCUUCAAGCCCACUUGGCCCGCCCCGCAAAAUAAGCCCGCUGGACAACUGCAGGCCAACUUUUUUUUUUGCGGGAUGGGGCAGUCCAGACUGCUAGUGUGUGCGGGCCACUCGUCGAGCCUGCAAAAUCCUGCUAAGGCCGGCUAAGACCACUUGCCCUAGGUAUCCGAGUGUGUGACCCUCCGCCGGCACAUCCUGCUGCGUUCGCUGCUCUCCGCAAUGGCUGCUGCUCCUGUGUCCAUGGCAGAGGUGCCCGCUGUGGUGCCGAUGCCAGUGCCGGAGAAACUUGGCGAUGCCUCCGCCAUCACACCGGCCAAGAAGAAGCUACCGCCCUCCUCCAAUGACAAGAAGAGGAAGGGAAAGGGCCCGCGCGGACCAUGCUUCGGUCGCUGAGGCUCCUGUCGCCAAGAGGAAGGGGAAGGGGCUGCCGCACCCUGUUCCGGCCUCCGAGGUCCCCGUCGCCAACAAGCCGAAGACCGGCGAUGCACCCAUGUCCAUAGCUGAGCUCCCCAGAUCUGGCGUGGCCACCGCCUCCCGUCAUUGCCGGCCCCGAGGUCCACGCUACCCUACUCCAGGACGCAGACGCCGACGACCAAACGCCACAGCAGGUAUGCCAUUGCGCAUUGUCUCAUCGAAUGGCGAGGAUUUGGCCCGGAGUGAUUAGUGCGAUGACCUUGGUACAAAACUGUGCCUCUCACUUGUCGAUUUCUCAGUAGUGGUCGGAGUUUGAUUCUGGCGAUAGGCACUUAUCCUGAAGGGUGUUGUCACUUGGAUCUGGCAUUGUCUAUACAAGAUCCGUACGUAGCUGACAUAGUGCAUCUUGGUCAGUCGUCAACAUAAUGGUUGAUUGUGUUGUCCUUUAGCUCUGGUUGACUUAAGCAAAUAUAUGUGAGGCUAAUUCAGUUUUACUCGGAGGAAAACCCCGUAUUUUGAAUUGAGACAGCAACUGCAAACUAGAGUAGAGACCUGUACAGAUUUAACAAGUAAACAUCUCAGGUGCAACUCCAAUAGUUGACUAUUUGUUUGUUCAAAAUGAUAUAAGUUGCUACAUUUCUGUAUGUGUUUUUGUUUUCCAAUGGCACUAGCAAUCUAGCACUACAAAACAAUCUAGUGUGCACUGCACAGAGCAUGAAAAGAGGCUCAUCAAGGGAGCAAGUAACCUUCUUCUUACAGUAGACCACAUGGCACUUGAACUGCUGCCUGCGUGAGCCGGUGAGGCUAUCUGCAAUCCAAUCCGGCACAUGUUAGGUCGAGUUGGCUGUACUGUAAGAAGGCCUAAAUUUAUCUGCAUAUAUGUUACUUGUAGUCUGCAACAAAUUCGCACCUAAGCUGAACAUUGCCAUCCCUAGCCCUCCAUCUGAAAGUAUUCUUAUGUUAUGCCGUAGCACAAGAUGACUUUCUGCAUCCCAAAUUAACAGCGUAAACUCAGUUCAUAAACUCAUGUUCGUACCUAAAGCUGAUCAGUGCCCAGAUUAGGCCGAUUAGGCUUGCAUACAUGUUGGGAUUUGUCACUAGCUUCUUACCGACCACCGGUAAAAAUUGAAAAGCACCAUAAUAUCUUUGUUGCAUAGUAUUCUCUUUUCAGUAAAUAAAUGAAGGAGAGCUCCAUGUAUUUCAUCAUAUUAUGGUUGCAGCGUACACAGAUAGGACUUAUGCAGCUAGAAUAGUAUUUCACUUUAAAAAAGAACAUUUACUUCUGCCUGAGACAGGCACUGUCAUAUUACUAGCUGCAUGCUCGCUACUUGGUUAUGGUAUAUUUAUAAGAGCACAGUCGCCUGAUAGAACAUUCCAGAAUUGAAUCAUAUAUCAUCUUAGCAUGGUUAUUUUCAUUCAAGCGCACUUAUCAUUUUAAACGCAUGUCUAAAAUAUCACCUUAUGUUGUGGAUCCCAGCAUAAGUAAAUGAAAGGCUGGAGGACAAGGUUUUUACUGCCUGAAUUAUGGGACAAAACUAUACAAUUCAGAGUUUCAGUCAUCAUCACACCAGUAUUAACCGGCGGGCUGUGUGCUGAUCUGGUGGCACUCCACCACAUACCAACUUCGUUGAUUAUUCCUGUAGCACUUGUUAUCCCUUCAACAUGAGAGAUUAUUGUCCCUUUAACACUUGUUGCUAUAGAGCAUGACUACUAUAUUUAAUUAAUUAUAGUGUAUAUUAAUUUUUCCCUCGUGCAGCCCAGCAUGUCAAAUGUGCCAACGGUGACCUCCCCUUUAAUCGCCUCUUUCGGAAUAAAGCGCAAAAGGCCAAUGGUAAAUCAACAGAAGUCUUCUGCAACCAGGCGCUUCAAGCCUCCAAUGGCAAGAAAGGUGAACUCUCCUAUGGUGACGAGGUCCCAAUGAUGAGACUACUAGUGUCUCCAUUGGUUGUGCGGCCAAGGUCACCAUCACUUGGCCUGCAGAGAUCACCGUCACGCAGCCUGCAGAGGUCACCCAGCCCGAGGAGGUCACCAUCAUGUAGCCCAUGGAGGUCGCAGUCACGCAGCCCGUGGAGGUCACCGUCACGCAGCCCGUGGAGGUCAUCGCCACGCAACCCAUGGACAUCGUCGGCACGCAGCCCACGGACAUCGCCAGCACGCAGCCCACAGAGUGGAGCUGCUCAUUCAGGAUCUCAUGACCACAGUAAUUAUGGACCUCAACUUUUUUUUCUAGACUAGAUAGUUCAUCAUGCUAUAUUGCUGCUGCUAAUAAGUAUCAAAAUUGCACUCCUCAGAGAUAUCUUCUCAUGGAUUUUAUCCUCUUAAACAUUACAUGUGUUUAAUAAUGAUAGGUAAACCGAGAAAGUUGAGAUCUGCUAUUUGGAAGGACAUGGAUCCCAUCUAUCAGGAUGGUAAAGUCAUACAAGGCCGAUGUAAACACUGUUACGAGGUAUUUGCUGCUGCCCGUACUUCAGGGACUAGCCAUAUGCGUAGGCAUUUAGAAACUUAUGAACCAAGACUUAAGAUGCAUGAUUUAGUUGAAAAGUUGUAGUCAGUCUCAACUGAGUCAGCUAUUCUCACUAAUUGGAGAUUUGAUCCUAAACUGACUCGAUGUGAGCUUGUUCGUUUGAUUGUACUACAUGAGCUGCCUUUCUCUUUUGUUGAGUAUGAAGGAUUUCGUAGCUAUUCAGCUAGCUUAAAUCCACUUGCAGAAACUGUAUCUAGGACAACAAUUAAGGAAAACAUCUAAGAAGCCUAUAAGAACCACCGAACAACGUUGAAAGAAAUAUUUGAGAACUGUUUCAGAUUCUCAUUGACAGCUGAAAGAGUAAUUUAAUUUAUGUUCAACACAAAUUAUGCCAUAUUCUGUACUUAUUCUUUCUGAGUAAUUUAUGUAUUUUGGCUUCCGGAUGUAAUAAUAUAGUCAUUUUACACUUAUUCCUGCACAUUUAUACGUGUGUAAAGCAGUUCAUUAAUUUGGUAUUAAUUUGGUGCCAUCGCUCUCUUUUUUUUAAAGGAAAUCUUGUGGGUCUAGCUAGGCCUUGCAGGUUUAGCCAUUGGGCCUAGUGGGCUGUUGGGGCCAGCAGGCUUGCAGCAAGCGGACACCCGCAAUGCCUGCAAAUUAUGCUUGCGACAAGAUACGGCAGCAGCCCAUAUUCUCACCCGCAGACCGGCCCACUUGCAUGUUGAAGCAAAUCAGCCCAAAAUAACAUCUUUCUACUCGUUUUCCUUCGCCGCCUGAAGACCCAACGACGCCCAGCAGCCCAUAUUCUCACCCGCAGGCCCAACAAAUGCCAGCUCCCAACGGUCAUGGAAGCUGCACGCAACUCCGCGUUUUCUCCCCAAACCGACGUCCGGCGAAGCCUAGCCUAACUUUGAGUGGCGGCGGCGCGGCGCCUUGGUGGUCGGCAGGCGGCGGGCGGCGGCUACGGCACGGGCGCACUGCAGCAUUGCGCAAGGCCGGCGGGCUCCAGUCUGCUCUAAGGCAGGGGCAGGCCGGCAGCAGCACGCAGCAGCCGGUGCCCGCUGCAGGCGGAAGCACGCAGCCCGCCAGCAGCCGGCAGCAUGCUAUUUUUCUUUGAAUAUAAUAUGGGCUUUUGGUCCAUAUUCUAUUUGAUGAUUAAUUCAAUGGCCCAUAAUAAAUGCUAUAAUAAAAACAGUUUAGUACCAUAUUGAUUGUUGAUCAUGUGUUAACUCAAGUUAAAUAGGUGGCCUUUGAUAGCUCCUAUGAAGAAGUUGAGGAAGGGAAAGAGGGUGCCACACGCGCGCCGCCGCCGAGCCGUGGCGAGGCGAGCGUGUCUUGUCUGGACGUGACUCACACGAGGUCGAGACGUGACGUGGACCUGACCGUUGUCUGGUUAAUGGCAAUUAAUUAUGAUUGAUUGCCAUUAACUCAGACGUUUCCUCUUGGGGCCUAUAUAUUCCAUACACGAGUCACUUUCCUUUCCUUCCUCACUUUCCUUUCCUGCGAGACACAAUCAGUCAUUCCUCAUUCAUUUCCUUCCAGUCGCGUUGCUCUCCAUCUCCAUCCCGAACCUCUUCGCGCACAGAGAUCGAUAGAGCAGACCUCCGGAACCCGACGCCCUGCAUCGAGACACCUGCUCGGGUGUGCGGGUAAUUAGGUUUUUGGGGAGCGUCUUCCGCGACUGCUCGCCGGUGAGAUCUUCUUCUUCCACUCCUGCGGAUCGGGAUCGUCUUCUUCUUGGUGGACGUUCGGGACUACGACUACUUCAUCUUCUUCCUGGUGGACGUUCGUGGGACUGCACUGCGAACAUCUACCUACAUCGACUGAGGUCCACUACUUCAAGCAACACACUAUGUCGACUAGUGUGAAUGGAGCCGCCGGUGCCUUCGGCACUGGUCCCUCCUCGGGGUACAAUCUUAAACGAUUGUUUUUCAUUUUCAGUAUGUCUGCUGUAGUUGCAGUAGUUUUUGCAAUGUUUAUCUCUAAUCUGAGUAGUGAUAAAAUUACACACGUGCAUAUAUAUGCCACCACUGUAUUAUACGUAAUUUUCUGGAUUAAAUCAAACAUUAAAAUGUCUAAUUUUCUAACACAUGCACCGUGGCUGCACGGCACCGGCCCGCGGCAGGUUUCGAAUUUCAUAUUCAAUUUGUUAGGCAUAACAAUUUGUCCCUAAAUUACUUAGUCUAGUCUCUUGAUUUCAUUUUAGGUCCCAAGUAUGAAGAGAGAAAAUAGUGGUACACUGGUACUAUAGAUUUGAGAACUUUCUUGCAAAGGGAAGAAGCAGUCACAAAAUGAGUUUGAGCAAGAGGGAGUUAUAUGCUCAGUUUAUGCCAAAAUUCUUGAAUAUAUCAAAUCAUAGUCAAUUAUGUGUUAUAUAUUUCUUAUAUAUACUAUGUGGCAUUAUAUAUACAUGUCAAAUAUUUGCCUUUUGGUUUGGUUUACAUUUUGAAUACCCAGCUACAAAAUCCUGUGCCCGCUACUGAUAAAUACCACUGCAAGUGCAAGGUUGCUCUUCCUCGACCAUCGAGACACACAGAACUUCUCCUGCAUGCCUACUAAUAGCUCUAAUAGCUCAUAUAGCUGCCCUCUCAAGUACUAUGAUGGGCUGAUGGCCACCUUGUCCUCCACAGUAGUUGCACUUGCACUUGGUGCACUUCUCUUCUUGCUCCUUGCAACGUGUGGCUCAUGCGCGAUACCGGCGAGCUUUAACGUCUCUGACUUCACCGCCGAUCCCAACUGGGAGGCUGCCAGGGCCACCUGGUACGGUGCACCCACCGGUGCCGGCCCUGAUGACAACGGUACGUAUACAUGAUCACGCCGGUGCAUACAUGCAUGGUCUCAUUGUGCUUGCAGUGCAUAGCGUUUUUUUGAACCGAGUCCGUCUGAACUACAGUGCGCCGCCGUUCUGCAUGCAGGUGGUGCCUGUGGAUUCAAGAACGUGAACCUGCCGCCGUUCUCGGCAAUGACAUCGUGCGGCAACGAGCCCCUGUUCAAGGACGGCAAGGGCUGCGGCUCCUGCUACCAGGUACUCUACUUUGCUAGAUUGAUUGGUCAGACAAAGAUCCUUUAAUUUGGUGCCUGCCUUAAUGGAAACGGAAAGCUCGAGCAUACUUUUGACUUUUGCGCAAUUCCGUUUAUUUUCUUUCCCAGAUACGAUGCCAACAGCACCCUGCCUGCUCGGGCAACCCAGAGACGGUGAUCAUCACUGACAUGAACUACUACCCCGUGGCCAAGUACCACUUCGACCUCAGCGGCACGGCGUUCGGCGCCAUGGCCAAGCCCGGCCGCAACGACGAGCUCCGCCACGCUGGCAUCAUCGACAUCCAGUUCAAGAGGUGGGUAACACGCACUUUACCGCUCCUUGCAUAGAACCACCACAGUCGACCGGCUGAGAUCAGCUGGGGGCCCUACACACCAACAGAAUCAUAUUUGGAGACCUUCU